GCACAAGCGGUGGAGCAUGUGGUUUAAUCGAUGCAACGCGAAGACCUUACCUGGGCUUGACAUCCCUGGAAUCCCCCUGGGAAACAGGGGAGUGCCCUUCGGGGAGCCAGGAGACAGGUGCUGCAUGGCUGUCGUCAGCUCGUGUCGUGAGAUGUUGGGUUAAGUCCCGCAACGAGCGCAACCCUUGUCUUUAAUUGCCAUCAUUCAGUUGGGCACUUUAAAGAGACUGCCGGUGUUAAACCGGAGGAAGGUGGGAUGACGUCAAAUCAUCAUGCCCCUUAUGUUCUGGGCUACACACGUGCUACAAUGGCCGGUACAGACGGACGCAAAGCCGCGAGGUGGAGCAAAUCCUAAAAAGCCGGUCUCAGUUCGGAUUGCAGGCUGCAAUUCGCCUGCAUGAAGUCGGAAUCGCUAGUAAUCGCAGGUCAGCAUACUGCGGUCGAAUACGUUCCCGGGCCUU
Molecule: ribosomal RNA, 460 nt
Filed under: uncultured Desulfosporosinus sp.
Lineage: Bacteria; Bacillati; Bacillota; Clostridia; Eubacteriales; Desulfitobacteriaceae
Description: bacterial SSU rRNA
Rfam family: Bacterial small subunit ribosomal RNA
Source: RNAcentral